RNAcentral lists this ribosomal RNA (406 nucleotides) under uncultured bacterium. RNAcentral describes it as "partial 16S ribosomal RNA". It matches the Rfam family "Bacterial small subunit ribosomal RNA", at positions 30 to 526 of the family's 1533-position model. The record is from RNAcentral.
AUUGAACGCUGGCGGCAGGCCUAACACAUGCAAGUCGAACGAGUGGCGGACGGGUGAGUAAUGCCCGGGAAACUGCCUGAUGGAGGGGGAUAACUACUGGAAACGGUAGCUAAUACCGCAUACUAUUGGACGUGCCCAGAUGGGAUUAGCUAGUAGGCGGGGUAAAGGCUAACCUCGGCGACGAUCCCUAGCGGGUCUGAGAGGAUGACCGGCCACACUGGAACUGAGACACGGGCCAGACUCCUACGGGAGGCAGCAGUGGGGAAAAUUGCACGAUGGGCGAAAGCCUAAUGCAGCCAUGCCGCUUGUAUGAAGAAGGCCUUCGGGUUAUAAAGUACUUUCAGCGGGGAGGCGUUACCCGCAGAAGAAGCACCGGCUAACUCCGUGCCAGCAGCCGCGGUAAUUC